Molecule: ribosomal RNA, 501 nt
Filed under: uncultured bacterium
Lineage: Bacteria
Description: partial 16S ribosomal RNA
Rfam family: Bacterial small subunit ribosomal RNA
Source: RNAcentral
GAUGAACGCUAGCGGCAGGCUUAACACAUGCAAGUCGAGCGGGGGAAGGUAGCUUGCUACCGGACCUAGCGGCGGACGGGUGAGUAAUGCUUAGGAAUCUGCCUAUUAGUGGGGGACAACAUCUCGAAAGGGAUGCUAAUACCGCAUACGUCCUACGGGAGAAAGCAGGGGAUCUUCGGACCUUGCGCUAAUAGAUGAGCCUAAGUCGGAUUAGCUAGUUGGUGGGGUAAAGGCCUACCAAGGCGACGAUCUGUAGCGGGUCUGAGAGGAUGAUCCGCCACACUGGGACUGAGACACGGCCCAGACUCCUACGGGAGGCAGCAGUGGGGAAUAUUGGACAAUGGGGGGAACCCUGAUCCAGCCAUGCCGCGUGUGUGAAGAAGGCCUUAUGGUUGUAAAGCACUUUAAGCGAGGAGGAGGCUACUUUAGUUAAUACCUAGAGAUAGUGGACGUUACUCGCAGAAUAAGCACCGGCUAACUCUGUGCCAGCCGCCGCAGUAA